Long non-coding RNA from Mus musculus (house mouse), 3578 nucleotides. RefSeq annotates it as predicted gene, 52889. The transcript is spliced from 2 exons. NCBI's taxonomy places the organism in Eukaryota, Metazoa, Chordata, Mammalia, Rodentia, Muridae. The record is from RefSeq and is a predicted model, not a curated record.
AGCCAUUCUUUUUCUGUUUCUCAUUAGAAAACAAACAGGCUUCUAAGGAAUAAUAAUAAAGUAAAAUAAACCUUUGGAACUGGACAAAAGAAACAGUAAAAGAGCUCAAGAGAAAGCACAAGAAUCAAAGACCCACUCAUUUACACACCGGGGAAUCCCACCAAAAAACUACUAAACUGAAGCCAUAAUGUAUACUCAAAGGACCUAGUGCAAACCUGGACUCAGAAUUAACUUUAUCCAGAGGUCUACAGAGGUGAUGAGUGUCUAUUACUGCUUACAUUAAGAAGUACAUGUUACAUCGUUGUUCUAGCUGUUUGUGUACUUGGCUAAGAUGACAAUGGCUAUGCCUCACCAAUUUUCCCUUAUAAUGAGUCAGUAGUCUCUCCUGUUUGUUAUCCACCCAUUUUUCAUUCCAUAAUUUUAAUUGUAGUUAGUGAUCUUUUACUAAGUUGCAAUGAAGUUUUGCAAGAUGAUCAUUUCUAAUUCUGUCACUUUUUGUACUUACAAAUAUAAUUGUAAAGAAUAUUAUCUAUUUUUCUGGCUAGUAUUUGUUGUAAAUGGACAUGGUUUUAUUGUUGUUUUUCCUAAUUCAGUGUUACUCAUUUCAGGAAGACUCUGUGAGCUUUGACAUGCUUCUAGCAUUAAAAAUAAAUCUAGCUUUCCUGGUGGUUUGGCUGUCACAGAUUUGAAAUCAACCAUUUCUUCAAGAAGCUAUGAUAGCUUUUAUAAUGGUGAAGAAAUGGAUAGUGUUUGAAUUCAGUUAAGAAGUAGAAGUCAAGUAGUGAGUGAGUUCAAAAUCUGGUACAGUGAUAACAACAGCAAAUGUUUGGUCAUUUACAAAAUUCUAAGCAGACCCUGAGAAGCUUGUUCGGUGGGUUAAGAAUUAGGACUGUUUGCUGUGCACGUGUGAGGGCCGGAGUUUGAAUCCUCAGAGUCCACAGCAAAAGCUGCCCUUACCUGUAAGCCCAGAACUGGCAGGGCAGAGACAGGAACUGUUUGCUGGCAGCCAGCCUAUCUCGAGACUCUGUGUGAGAAACCCUGCCUUAAUAAGGUGGGGGAGUGACAGAGGAGAACACCUAGUGACCUUGGCUUCCAGACAUGCGCAUGUGCACUCCCACACUCAACAUGUAUACCCCACAUACACCAAUGAAAGAGUUAGGUCAUUUCAAAAUAUCAAGUCUAAAAUUAGGAGCUAAUUAAAAAUGAAAACUGUAGACCUUAUGGUCAUUCUUCAUUAUACAGUUUCUCCAUUAGAGGGUUGUGUGGAAAUAUGACAUGUGACAAAUGUGAAGAAACUGAGUGGAUUUGAAUGUCCCCCUCCCCCCCAACUAUAUUUUUGAUAAUUUCUCAUACAAGACUUUUCUGUGUAGCUGAGGCUGGCUUGGAAUUCAUGAACCUCUAUUUCUGCUUUAGUGCUGGGAUUACAGGUGUGUGCUACCACUCCUGAAAAAGUAAUUUUAUUUUAAAACAAAUGUGUUAACCUGUAAAGUAUGUCAGUCAGGAUUCCAGCAGUUGUGUAAACCUAAGCAGGAUUCAGGGGCAUAUACAUAUCAGGGGAUAUACAUAUCAGGGGCAUAUACAUAUCAGGGGAUAGUUGGUGGCAUUAAAAUGUAAUGUAAGGGCUGGGGAUGAUCAAAGUGGCGUUCCCCUGGAGGCUAAAUGUUCAGGAUCUAAAGAAGAAGGAACAAAUGAAAAAGGAUAUUGUGGCUGUUUGGGGGAGAUUAUUUUUAAUGUUUUCUUGGGAUUAUAUUAUAAUCCAUCACUUCCACUUCUGUUUCCCACUUCUAAUCCUCCCCUUCCCAGCUCUCUGUCAAAUUCAUGUUCUCCUUUUCUUUGGCGAUGGUGGUGGUGAUGUGUGUUCCUAAAUACAUAACUACAACCUACAGUUUGUCUAAUGUCACUUGUACGCACAUGUUUUCAAGGCUACUUGGCACAGCGGACGGAGCAUUUUCCCUGGGGACACUGUUCUCCAGCUGUCAGCACUCCUUAGUUGUCUGUAGCUCUUUAUUUAGUGUUGAGGCCCCUUCCAUGUUAGCAUGUCUAUUGAUGUUCUUGUUCAGGUCUUGUUUAGCUGUGUUUGUAAGGAUUCAUGGAUGUAGUCUCUGACGUUAUGAAGAGACACAGCUCACAUCAGACCUCCUCUUCCUUUGCUUUGCAGUCUUUGUGCCCUCUUUUCUGGAAUGAUCCCUGAACCCUAGGAAUUUUGUUGAAGAUAUAUCAUUUGGGGCUAGACACAGUCAUUUGCUGUAUGUAUUUGAUCAGUUGGGGGAUUUCUGUAAUAGUCUCCAUUUGUUGAAACACAGUUUCUAUGAUAAGGAGAACUUAUCUGUGGGUACAUGUAUAAACAUUUAGAAUGUAGUUAGUGGUUAGCUAUGCUGGUUCAGCACAGUGGUGACCACAGGUUCUCCUCCACGAUCCAUGGCUUCACUAGCACUGGAUAGUUGGCUCAUUUUCCUGUGCCAAGCAUGAUUUCCCUCCUGUGCAGCAGGCCUGAAGUCCAAUUCUAUAGUGUCUGGCUUACCGUCAGACUGCGUGCUUAGGGCUCUGGUGUCAGACUGGUCAUCAUUGCGGUUCAUAGGCACCAUAGCCGGGGAGGACUAUUGGUUGCCCUUUCCUUUGAAAGCUUGUGUGACACCUUCUGAUACUACGAAAUAAAUUCCUCAGGCAGGAGGUGAAUGUUCUCAGAUCACACAGCAAGUACACGUCCUCUGGUCCAUGUGCCCCAAGUGCAUAGUGUCUUCAGCAAUAGGGGCUUAUCUUGUCUAGUGUGAAUGUUCAUUCUAGACUAAAGGUAAUAGGAAUAGAAGAUCAGUUUUAGAAUUAUUUUAGGAGCUAAAUAAGCAGAACUUAGUGCAUGUAUAGAGAAGACAUUUUAGGGUGAUUUCUCUACUUUUCCUUCUUUAGGCCAGUUAGAUUUUAGAUUCAGAGUCAGUUACACAUAGAAUUAGAAGGUGUAAAGGCUAGUUUUAACAGUGGAGAUAUAUUUGGAAACCAACAGUAUAUUGCUGAACUGUUAACUGAAGGAUAUACUAAAAGUAGAGGAUGAAUCAGGGAUGCAGUUUCUAAUUCGGGUAUCCCAUAAAUUAGUAUUCAAGAGCACAAAGAAAAAAAAUUUGGAGAUAGCUUCCUAGAAGUACUAACUAAAUAUUUGGUUGUAUAAAGCUAAAUAAUUGAUUAGUCCUUUGCUUGAAUAAUUGCCUUAGAGCUUCUGUACUGUCAAUAUUGUUUUAGCAGUAGAUAUUUAUUUUUGAAAGUGUGUAUAUACAUAUAUGCAGUGUGUACACAGUGUGCAGAGGCCAGAGUUGAAUGUCAGCAGUCUUUCUCUGUUCUUCUUAGCUCCAUCCCCACUCACUGAACCAGGAACUCACCAUUACAGGCAUCUGCCACUGCAGAUGCUGAGUCCAAACGUAGUUCUUUAUGCAUGCACACUUUAUUGAGCAAUCUCUCCAACCCCUCAAUAGACAGUUUCCCUCUAUAAGAAUGCCUAGAGAUAUUUACAUGGGUGUUUUUCUGGUUCUAAGUAAAGCUGAACUCUAUCUAAGCCUGUCCUUUACAGCCAAAAGGAAAGAGAACAAAAA